This 1542-nucleotide ribosomal RNA is filed under the name Escherichia coli. Its description in RNAcentral is "bacterial SSU rRNA". It matches the Rfam family "Bacterial small subunit ribosomal RNA". RNAcentral also lists the same sequence under 1 other name. Lineage: Bacteria; Pseudomonadati; Pseudomonadota; Gammaproteobacteria; Enterobacterales; Enterobacteriaceae. The record is from RNAcentral.
AAAUUGAAGAGUUUGAUCAUGGCUCAGAUUGAACGCUGGCGGCAGGCCUAACACAUGCAAGUCGAACGGUAACAGGAAUCAGCUUGCUGAUUCGCUGACGAGUGGCGGACGGGUGAGUAAUGUCUGGGAAACUGCCUGAUGGAGGGGGAUAACUACUGGAAACGGUAGCUAAUACCGCAUAAUGUCGCAAGACCAAAGAGGGGGACCUUCGGGCCUCUUGCCAUCGGAUGUGCCCAGAUGGGAUUAGCUAGUAGGUGGGGUAACGGCUCACCUAGGCGACGAUCCCUAGCUGGUCUGAGAGGAUGACCAGCCACACUGGAACUGAGACACGGUCCAGACUCCUACGGGAGGCAGCAGUGGGGAAUAUUGCACAAUGGGCGCAAGCCUGAUGCAGCCAUGCCGCGUGUAUGAAGAAGGCCUUCGGGUUGUAAAGUACUUUCAGCGGGGAGGAAGGGAGUAAAGUUAAUACCUUUACUCAUUGACGUUACCCGCAGAAGAAGCACCGGCUAACUCCGUGCCAGCAGCCGCGGUAAUACGGAGGGUGCAAGCGUUAAUCGGAAUUACUGGGCGUAAAGCGCACGCAGGCGGUUUGUUAAGUCAGAUGUGAAAUCCCCGGGCUCAACCUGGGAACUGCAUCUGAUACUGGCAAGCUUGAGUCUCGUAGAGGGGGGUAGAAUUCCAGGUGUAGCGGUGAAAUGCGUAGAGAUCUGGAGGAAUACCGGUGGCGAAGGCGGCCCCCUGGACGAAGACUGACGCUCAGGUGCGAAAGCGUGGGGAGCAAACAGGAUUAGAUACCCUGGUAGUCCACGCCGUAAACGAUGUCGACUUGGAGGUUGUGCCCUUGAGGCGUGGCUUCCGGAGCUAACGCGUUAAGUCGACCGCCUGGGGAGUACGGCCGCAAGGUUAAAACUCAAAUGAAUUGACGGGGGCCCGCACAAGCGGUGGAGCAUGUGGUUUAAUUCGAUGCAACGCGAAGAACCUUACCUGGUCUUGACAUCCACGGAAGUUUUCAGAGAUGAGAAUGUGCCUUCGGGAACCGUGAGACAGGUGCUGCAUGGCUGUCGUCAGCUCGUGUUGUGAAAUGUUGGGUUAAGUCCCGCAACGAGCGCAACCCUUAUCCUUUGUUGCCAGCGGUCCGGCCGGGAACUCAAAGGAGACUGCCAGUGAUAAACUGGAGGAAGGUGGGGAUGACGUCAAGUCAUCAUGGCCCUUACGACCAGGGCUACACACGUGCUACAAUGGCGCAUACAAAGAGAAGCGACCUCGCGAGAGCAAGCGGACCUCAUAAAGUGCGUCGUAGUCCGGAUUGGAGUCUGCAACUCGACUCCAUGAAGUCGGAAUCGCUAGUAAUCGUGGAUCAGAAUGCCACGGUGAAUACGUUCCCGGGCCUUGUACACACCGCCCGUCACACCAUGGGAGUGGGUUGCAAAAGAAGUAGGUAGCUUAACCUUCGGGAGGGCGCUUACCACUUUGUGAUUCAUGACUGGGGUGAAGUCGUAACAAGGUAACCGUAGGGGAACCUGCGGUUGGAUCACCUCCUUA